Molecule: long non-coding RNA, 1385 nt
Filed under: Equus caballus (horse)
Lineage: Eukaryota; Metazoa; Chordata; Mammalia; Perissodactyla; Equidae
Description: lncRNA (ENSECAG00000056922.1)
Source: RNAcentral
CUUGGUUGUUGUCUAUUGAUGUUGCUGUUGGGUUCCAUGGAAACAGGUUCUAAGAUGGAAAUUUAUGUGCAGUAACAACUUGGAAGGAGUGAAGGAAGCAGGACUGGACAGAAGGUGAACUGCUAACCCCACAGGGACUCUGGACCUGGAUGGAUCAUCAGAGCGUCUUGGACUGAGGCAAGGUGGCUGGGCCUCUGUGCCCCUGCUUCCAUCAGGAGGAAGUCCUCACAGAGCUCACAUAGGAGGGUGAGUAUGAACAGAGGACCAAGGAGCAGACCCUGGGCCUCCGACACUUAAAGGCUGGGCGAGGGAAGAGACGCAGGGAAGGAGACUGAGACGAGGCAGGCGAGGAGGAAGAAACCAGGAGAGUGGUGUUGAGUUCCGGAUGCUCCACCGUGACUUUCAUUUGAUUUUCCCACGGCAGUGCAAACAAAAAGGAAGAUGGCGUGGAGAUAUUGAUUUCAGACGUAGUAUGAAAUGGAAUGAAGGGCUAUUUUAUAUUGAUAAAUGAUCCAACUCGAUGGAGAGAAAAGAUCCACAAUAAAAGUUCUAAAAGUACUUGAUUAUGCAUAUAUAUGUGACUCUCUGCCUUUCCCCCAAUCCUGCUGGAAUUGUUACCGAACCUAAAGUGAGUUCACUCACCCGUUGUGCAGCAAGCCAAUCUCUGACACCAGGUGUGGUGGAAGAAAGUAGGAAUUUUAUUUUUGCACAGCGCUGAGCAAGGAGGGCGGGCAGCUAACGCUGAAAUCCCAAACUCCCUGAAAAGCUUAAAGGAAGGGUUUUUAUUUGGGGUUUUAGGUAGGGGAGGGGGAGCAUAUGGCGUUGCUGGUUGGAGCUUUCCCACCAGCCUGUCUUUGGUCUUGAGACUACUUGCAGAGAGGAGAGAGCUCAUGACCUUGCUGGUCAGCAGCUUUCCCACCAGCCAGUAUCUCUUUGCGGGAGGAGAUAGUCCAGGUGCUUGUCCUUGGCGGUGUCUGUCUCCAUGGAGGAGAGUGGAUUCUGCAGCCAGGAAGCCAGAGAGUAAGCAGGGAAUGAGUGUUUUGGUUUUAAUCCCAUAUAUGCUGGGUUUAAUGUGGGGAAACUGAUAUCUGGGUCGGUAUUAGAAUGACCAGUCUAAUCUAUAAAGUGGAGUUACUACGGGAAAUUGGGGAGAAUAAAGAGCCUCAACUAUCAAGACCUCACAGGAAAAACUAAGUUAAAAGGAAAGAUAGAUAUUGUGUUUGUGAAGAUUCUUUUGGUUGUGAGUAAAAAAAAAAACCCACGUGAACUCCGUGUUCCAGUUAUCUAUUGCUACAUAACAAACCAUCUCAAUUCUUAGAGGCUUAAAACAAUUCAUUAUUCUCUCUCAUGGUUCUGUGGGUUAAUUGGGCUCAGCCAGGUGGUCC